CUUUCAACAAUACCUCAAUAAUUAUUGACACCACAGAGCAGUAAUUCAACAAUAAAGUUGUUGGGUAGUUCACAACAAAAAAGUCGUUGACUAAAUUCUUUGACAUAUUGUUGAAUAUUAUUGAGUAUUAUUGAGCCAUUGUUGAGUAGUUUCCAACAAAAAAGUCGUUGACUAAA
RNAcentral lists this long non-coding RNA (176 nucleotides) under Dermacentor andersoni. RNAcentral describes it as "uncharacterized LOC126544467". Lineage: Eukaryota; Metazoa; Arthropoda; Arachnida; Ixodida; Ixodidae. The record is from RNAcentral.